Molecule: RNA transcript, 3657 nt
Organism: Hevea brasiliensis (rubber tree)
Lineage: Eukaryota; Viridiplantae; Streptophyta; Magnoliopsida; Malpighiales; Euphorbiaceae
Exons: 3
Source: RefSeq, a predicted model, not a curated record
AUCUCUUGUGGGACGAGUACGGGAGACCUAUCCCCGCCUGUUGCCACUCCUAUCCAUGGCGCUCUAGAUCUGGAAGGACAGAAAUGCGAGGGAAGUAGAUCCUGUUGCUGGUGGUUCUUCACAUUUUAGGCCUCUCUCAGUUGAUAGAAACUCAAAUUGAAUCUCUCAAAUCACAAUCUUUCAGGUCUACAGCUUCUUGCUCGUCCCAAGCUCGUUCAAUGUAAAAUUCACCAACCAGGCUCUCUCCUUCACACUCUGUUUCUUCUGAUUGGCCAAAUUCAGGAACAGAAGAAUCAGAGAAAAAGAAGGAUUUCCAUGCAUCAUAUCCUCCUUCACAAUCACCACAAACAACAAUGUAUAGUAAAGCUCCGCUGAAUGCAUUUCAUUUAAGGAGAUAUAGUAGCGGCUCUUUGUUCCAAAAAGAUUUGCGUGGAACCUCAAAAGAUAAUUUGAAGCGAGCGGCAGAAGAGAGGAUUCAUUGGGUAGUAAAGAGUAAAGAGUAUCAGCAAUGAUUGUUAAAGCUACAUCAAGGGAAAAAAAAAUCUGUUAGGACUAUUAGUAGUGGUGUGUAUACUGCAGAGGUAAUAAAAGGCUGGAGAAAUGAGUAAAACCCACAUUGAUGACCAGGCUGGAAAAGGAUCUAAUGAAGCAAAAGCAGUAAAUGUAGGAAAAAUGAAAUGAAAAGAGAAGGACUUGAUAACAUUUCAUUUUUUUUUCUGAUAACAUGUCAAUGAGUAUCAGCAAGAAGUAAAAUCUUGAUACUCAAGGACUUGAUAACAUGUCAAUUGGUAUCAGCAAGAAGAAAAAUCUUGAUACUCACUGUGAUGUGCAUUGCCAACAUAUGUAAAAUAUCAGAAGAGAAAAAAGGAAGAAUGUAUGGGGAGUGUUGCCGUGGACUCUGAAAAAGACUCGGAAAGUGAGACCAACAGUGCUCCGGUGGGUGAUGCUGACGCAGGGCAUGACCCUAAUGAGGUUGAUAAGAAGGCUGGUGAGUUCAUAGCCAAGUUGACGGAGCAGAUUGAACUUCAGAAAGUGGCAUCUAUUAAAAGAACAAGAAGGAUGCGAAUGAGUGAUAAGCACUAAAGGUGAAGCAUAAACUUUUACUGCUCUAACAAGUAACGGUAUGAAGAUUGAAGGUGGACUCCCUCCCAUUUCUUUUUAAGAUUUAAUGUUCCAUCUCUACUUGUAUUAGAGGUGAAAUUGUAGUGAAUGAGUGAAUUAGGGAAAGACAUGUGCAUCGAGGAACCGAAGGAUGGGGAAGUGGGGAGGUGAGAAGCGUUGAGGACACAUCGCGAGAUGAUAUGGAUGGUUCUUGCAGUAGAUGCAAAACGGGUUUUGGUAGGAGCAGGGGCUCGUUAUGUUUUUUGCUCAACUCUCUUGUGUUCCGAGGAACAAGAUUCAAUCAGAGUUUUGGUGGUGGGAUAGGGUUCAUGAGGUAUACCCUUUUUCCCCCUUCUUUAUUGCUUGUUUCUUGCUUUUAUAAAAUGCAGUAGAGUUUGUGAUUGCAGUUUCAGAAUGUAGUGGAACCACAGUUCGCAACGGAUCCUAAUCCUAAUCUUACUAGCUGUGCAAUUCCACUGUGUAACUGUAAACGUGAGAAACCUCAUGUUAUGUGGUUAUCUUACAAGUUUAUGUAUGUACUUUUGAAACAGUGAGCUUUUGAUAUAUUCUCUUGUUAAUUGAUGCAAGGUGUGUGAAACAUUUUUUGUUUCACAAUUUCUCCAACACUUAAUUCUUCGCUCUCGCCCUCUGUUUUCUUUCUUUCUUUAUGUUCAUAUUGUUAGGUUCCUGUUGUGAAUGCUGAAGUUUCAAUACUCACAACAAAUAUGUUUCGGUACAACUUUAUGUGAUGUAUUUACAAUGGAUAAGGAGAAAUGUGAUGUAUUUAUAUUAGACUAGGACAUAUGAUACAUAAAGGACAUUGAGUUGCAUAGGUACAUCGUCUGAGGCAAUUACAACAGCUUCUACAUAUGUUCCCUUCAUGAAAAUGCAUCCCAUGGAAAGAUGAACAUAAGUUCACUGUAAGGCUGGUAGGGGGCGCAGUACAACCAUUUUUCUCUGCUAACUUGCAGGUGCAACACAGGCACAUGACACGCAAUGCUGCAUGUAUGAAUAUGCAAGGUCAAUCAGGCCAAGAGUUCUUUUGGCUUCAUCCCAGUGGCAGGAAUACUUCAUUUGACCUUGCACUUUUCUUUUGAACAACAUGUGUUGGAAUUCCUAUUAUGAAGUCAAGAUUGAUGCUUGAAGGUCAUAAACCAGUAGUUUGUAAAUGUGCUGACCAUAUCAGCAGCGAGUUUUCACUUCUGCAUGACUUCAAAUAUUGCUCAAUACACCUCUCUCUCUCUAUGUUGUAUCAAUGAUAUAAUAAUCAUUACAUAGUUUAAAUAAACGAGUUUAAUUGGUGGAAGAGAUGGAAAUCCUUUUCCUGUUAGGAGUGGUUUCUUCUCUGUUUUGAAUUUCAAUUGAAGUUUAUUGAUUUAACUGACAUGGAAUUCUAAUGUAAAAGGGGAUAUGAUGCCAAUUUUUUCAAAUGUCUGUUUUCAUUACUUUUAGGAUAGAAUGGAGUUGUUAAGGUACACAUUAUUUUUGCUUUAGUUUUAUUGUUAAGGUACACCAAUUUCUUUCAGAACCACAUUAGCCUUACCUAACUGCUGUUUCUUAAUCUGAUUACAAUCACGCCAUUUAAGUCCAUAUCAAGUGUUCUGUCCGCCCACAAAACAAAGCCUGCAACUCAGUCAUGCCAUUGAAGCACUCUCCAGCAAUAUAGGAAAUCUCUUUGUUUUUCAGCACAAUCAUCUCUGACAAGUCUGGCUCCUGCUUUCCUAAAAUACCUUUUUUUACUUUGCCAUCAACACCUUAAGUUAAUUAACCCUCUUCCAGAUAGGACCAAGCACAAAUUUUGAGACUUAAAGCAUCUCUAGCAAAUUGGGUUAUGAAUGGCAUUGAGUUUGCUGAGACCAAUAAAUAGGACAUCGGUGGUAUUUCCAUGAAGCUUUCGCCUAAUUCUUGAACUUGUUCUGUGGUAAUCAUGAUUCAUGAAAUACAGUUCAAGAUGGAUACAAUGUUUAGAUGUUCUAUCUCUGAAGGAGACAAAGAGGACACAGCACUGACAGCAGCCUCUGAUGAUAACACAUUUUUGGUGGUAACAGAAUCAGAUCUUGAUGGAUACAAUGUUGGUUGUGAAACUGGUGUUGUGGAUAACAAGAUGCUGUGAAGACUUAGCCUGGAUUGCUGGGAUCAAUUUGCCAGUGAGGCAGCUAUUUCCAGACUUUCAUGCCUGUGGCUUGGGUGCCAUGCAAACCAGAAACGCUCUAGGAAAAGACUUGGAAGCUCGCUCAGGGCUAAUCAAUUGAGAAGUGCAGCUGUUGACUUCCAAGUUAUUUGAGACAUCAAAAUCUGCUGGGAGUUUUACUCCUGGAGUUUUAUUUUGUUUUUCUUCCCUUUUUUUGUCAACACAGGAAAAGUGAAUAUUUUAUGAGAAUGGUUUCUUUUUUUCCUCCUCGCAGAGAUUUUUGCUGGUUUGGAGAGGGUAUCAGUAGGGCUAUGAAGGAGAUUGUAGUAUCCCUUCGUCGUUGUGAUGAUGUAUAGAUGCUUACAAUGAAGCAGCAAAGAAAAGGCUGUUGUUUUAGAAGGCAACAAUUCCAAGAUUGUACAUCC